AUACUUACCUGGCAGGGGAGAUACCAUAAUCAGGAAGGUGGUUUUCCCAGGGCGAGGCUUAUCCAUUGCACUCCGGAUGUGCCGACCCCUGCGAUUUCCCCAAAUGUGGGAAACUCGACUGCAUAAUUUGUGGUAGUGGGGGACUGCGUUCGCGCUCUCCCCUA
Molecule: small nuclear RNA, 164 nt
Organism: Castor canadensis (American beaver)
Lineage: Eukaryota; Metazoa; Chordata; Mammalia; Rodentia; Castoridae
Gene: U1
Rfam family: U1 spliceosomal RNA
About the family: U1 is a small nuclear RNA (snRNA) component of the spliceosome (involved in pre-mRNA splicing).
Source: Ensembl